Molecule: long non-coding RNA, 1596 nt
Organism: Eublepharis macularius
Lineage: Eukaryota; Metazoa; Chordata; Lepidosauria; Squamata; Eublepharidae
Exons: 4
Source: RefSeq, a predicted model, not a curated record
UGUCCUGUUCCCAGAGCCUCGGGGGACUGAAUCCUGCCGUCCGUGGCUGCCUGGGGAAAAGAGCUUCCGAUGCAGACUCCACACCCAACGCUACAAAAGAAACAAGAGUCUGAGGAAGGUUCAACUUGCUGCAAAGACUGGGAAAGAAGUGCUGGGUUAUUGUAUAAGGAGGCACUGCAAGUGGAUUAGGGAAUGGAAGGAUAACCUUCAGAGGUUGGGAGGAGACCGAUUCUUCAUCAGCUCAGUCUUCAAAGAAGACAAACACAAGCCUACCAUUAAUAAGAGCCCACCAAAGCGCCGGUUGCUGAGCUGGACCAAACUGUGAAGGGCCUCAUCCACCUCUUGGUAGAGCUUCGUGACAGCCACAGUCUCGGCGCUACAGAGAGAAACAGUGGGUCAUUCUGGCUUCUGCUUAUCACAUUAGGGUAGUAUCCUGGCAGGAGGAGAAGGAACAACUUGCAAGGAUCAGAUGGGGGCCAGUGGAGACUGGAGGAGGGGGAAUAUAACAUAUUUAGGAGCCACCAGGUAAAAAUGAUUUCUCUCCCAGCCAUUUUGUAUUAUGUAGCUUGUGGGGUCCACUUGGAGUGCAAAAUGGUUGGUGGGGGAAAGAAUUACAUAUGGCUGUACUGCAAAAGAGUGCAGCUUCCCAAAGUUGCUUUUCUUAACAAAAAUUAGUCCUUCAGGGCUUUGUGAUGUAUAUCUAUAUGCAGCAUUUAGUUUGUGCCUCAGAAUGGCUGAACCCCAUUGAUUUCUGUGGUGAACUGCCUUGAGGAGGGAAAAGGGCUAUAAAUUCCCUAAAUUCAUAAACAGCAUGCUUCUUGAUCCAGAACUGACCAGGACACUGCUUUCUUAUUGUCAGUGACUGUCCCUUCUUUGCCUCCUUCCCUUUUAUAACUCUGUCUGUAGUCUGGGUGAUAAAUGGUGUUUGGAUCUCUCAGAAUAAAGGGCAUGCUGUCCAGCCAGUGAGCUGCCAAGUUGCCUCUGUGCAUCUUUUCCAUCACUGCAAUGCAAGCAGUUACUGUCUCUUUCUAAGACAUAGAUGUCGCUGAGAGAGAUGCCCUUGGAAAUUUGGCUCCCCAGGCUGCUGCCGAGUUUGCUUCUAUGUUGAGACCAACCCUGGAGUGCACAGACAGACUUUACAGACCUUGAAACAUGCAGUAGAGUCACCUCCAGCACCCUGCUCUACAGGGUUCAUUCAAAGUGCAGGACAGCUAACUGAACAACACUGAAGUGGACUGUGGGUCAAUUGGUGCUAUAAUUGCUUGACUUAACUGUGCUGAAAAGCAGCAAUUCUGGAAGAAAUUUGCCUCAAUACACUGCCAUCCAGUGUGGUUUAGUGGAUGGUGUUGGACUAGAAUCUGAGAGACCCAGGUUUGAAUCUCCACUCUGCCAUGGAGACUUGCAGGGGGACUUUGGGACAGUUACACUCUCUAGCUUAACCUACCUCACAGGGCUUGUGUGAGGCUAAAACACAGGAAAGGAGGACAAUGCAAGCUACCGUGGGUCCCCACAGGGGAGAAAGGUGGCAUAUAAAAUGAAGUAAAUAAAGAAAUAAUGAACACAGAAGGGGUGAAGGAGAUGGCAAAGGGCAGUCUC